Molecule: ribosomal RNA, 429 nt
Filed under: uncultured bacterium
Lineage: Bacteria
Also listed under: 1 other name
Description: bacterial SSU rRNA
Rfam family: Bacterial small subunit ribosomal RNA
Source: RNAcentral
UAGGGAAUCUUCCACAAUGGACGCAAGUCUGAUGGAGCAACGCCGCGUGAGUGAAGAAGGUCUUCGGAUCGUAAAACUCUGUUGUUAGAGAAGAACACGAGUGAGAGUAACUGUUCAUUCGAUGACGGUAUCUAACCAGCAAGUCACGGCUAACUACGUGCCAGCAGCCGCGGUAAUACGUAGGUGGCAAGCGUUGUCCGGAUUUAUUGGGCGUAAAGGGAACGCAGGCGGUCUUUUAAGUCUGAUGUGAAAGCCUUCGGCUUAACCGGAGUAGUGCAUUGGAAACUGGAAGACUUGAGUGCAGAAGAGGAGAGUGGAACUCCAUGUGUAGCGGUGAAAUGCGUAGAUAUAUGGAAGAACACCAGUGGCGAAAGCGGCUCUCUGGUCUGUAACUGACGCUGAGGUUCGAAAGCGUGGGUAGCAAACAGG